UAGGGAAUCUUCCACAAUGGACGCAAGUCUGAUGGAGCAACGCCGCGUGAGUGAAGAAGGUUUUCGGAUCGUAAAGCUCUGUUGUUGGUGAAGAAGGAUAGAGGCAGUAACUGGUCUUUAUUUGACGGUAAUCAACCAGAAAGUCACGGCUAACUACGUGCCAGCAGCCGCGGUAAUACGUAGGUGGCAAGCGUUGUCCGGAUUUAUUGGGCGUAAAGCGAGCGCAGGCGGAAUGAUAAGUCUGAUGUGAAAGCCCACGGCUCAACCGUGGAACUGCAUCGGAAACUGUCAUUCUUGAGUGCAGAAGAGGAGAGUGGAAUUCCAUGUGUAGCGGUGGAAUGCGUAGAUAUAUGGAAGAACACCAGUGGCGAAGACGGCUCUCUGGUCUGCAACUGACGCUGAGGCUCGAAAGCAUGGGUAGCGAACAGG
RNAcentral lists this ribosomal RNA (429 nucleotides) under bacterium. RNAcentral describes it as "partial 16S ribosomal RNA". It matches the Rfam family "Bacterial small subunit ribosomal RNA", at positions 355 to 776 of the family's 1533-position model. The record is from RNAcentral.